This 443-nucleotide long non-coding RNA is filed under the name Elaeis guineensis (African oil palm). RNAcentral's name for it is "long non-coding RNA (EGUI_LNC048326)". The record is from RNAcentral. Lineage: Eukaryota; Viridiplantae; Streptophyta; Magnoliopsida; Arecales; Arecaceae.
AUCUAAUACAUCUGGUAUAUCAACUAGCAGAAUUUUUAUCGAUUGGUUUAUUUUAGCAGAGAUCAUAAAAUAUUGUCGAGCCACCAUCUGAUCGCUAUGCAUCUCACCAACUCCUUUCUUAGUCAAAAAAUGACCAAUACAUGGUAAGUAGAGAUAAUGACCUUGAGGGCAUUGAGAUCAAGUUGGUCGAGGAUAGCAUUAUAAGCAGAUGAAACUCUGACGAUCAAAAAAGUGAGCUAUACUAUUGAUUGUCUUGGUUCUUGUCCUACUAUAACUGAUAGAGUGAUUUCUCCCUCAGCUACCAUCAGAUUUUCUAAAAACCUGAUGAGGGAAGUACCGAUCCGCCUGAGUUAUCCGACCAGAUUUAUUUUUAAGAAAGCAUCAUAGAACAAUACAUCAACAGAACUUUUAUUAUCAAUAAGAAUUUUUUUUAUAUCAUAUUU